Molecule: ribosomal RNA, 434 nt
Filed under: uncultured bacterium
Lineage: Bacteria
Description: bacterial SSU rRNA
Rfam family: Bacterial small subunit ribosomal RNA
Source: RNAcentral
ACGGGAGGCAGCAGUGGGGGAUAUUGCACAAUGGGGGAAACCCUGAUGCAGCAACGCCGCGUGAGGGAAGACGGUUUUCGGAUUGUAAACCUCUGUCCUUGGUGACGAUAAUGACGGUAGCCAAGAAGGAAGCCACGGCUAACUACGUGCCAGCAGCCGCGGUAAUACGUAGGUGGCAAGCGUUGUCCAGAAUUACUGGGUGUAAAGGGAGCGUAGGCGGGAGAGCGAGUCAGAUGUGAAAUCCACAGGCUUAACCUGUGGCGUGCAUUUGAAACUGUUUUUCUUGAGUGAAGUAGAGGCAGGCGGAAUUCCGAGUGUAGCGGUGAAAUGCGUAGAUAUUCGGAGGAACACCAGUGGCGAAGGCGGCCUGCUGGGCUUUUACUGACGCUGAGGCUCGAAAGCAUGGGUAGCAAACAGGAUUAGAUACCCUGGUA